This is a long non-coding RNA of Salvelinus fontinalis (brook trout), 3158 nucleotides long. RefSeq lists it as uncharacterized. The transcript is spliced from 2 exons. Lineage: Eukaryota; Metazoa; Chordata; Actinopteri; Salmoniformes; Salmonidae. The record is from RefSeq and is a predicted model, not a curated record.
GUGGCGCUCCUUCAACAACAACAGCUAGUCAGACACCUCCGUAGCUUUCUAGCAAACAUUGCUACAACAUUCACGCUCUUUACACUGUUUUGGUGUAUAUUAGUCGCUGUGUAUUAAACAUACUUCUGUCGUAUGUACUUGUUGGCCCAUUUAAUUAUAUAUUUACGUUGUUUGUCAGCUAGCUGGUUUGCUAAGUUAGCUUAGAACUAGGCUAGUCGCUAAUGCUAGUUAGCUAACAUCUCCGACCAUGAGUUCACUAAGCUACGCUCCUCUUGCUAAGGAAGAGAAGAUCUGCUGGACGGAUAAAGAAGCUUUCGUGAAAGAGGAGGACGAAGAGGAGGCUGUUACAAUACAAAAACAAGUAGAGAGUGAGGUUGUUACCAUGAAAAAAGAAGAGAAAGACGUUUCAGUGAAAGAAGACGCGUUCAGAGUGAAAGAGGAGGAUGUUACAGUAAAAGACGAGGAGAAAGAGGAGGAUGCCGUUUUUGGAGUGAAAGAGGAGGGGAGAUGACUGUCACAUUGGAGGAAGAGGAGGAGGUUGGAGAUCUGUUUAACACCAGAGAGAGACGGGACUAUCGUGGAUCUUCUGGGGAGCCUCAACAACAUCAUGAUGCUGACAAGGCAGAGAAGAGUCUCUCCACAUCAGAACACAUCAAGAAACACCAGCAGAGACCCAGAGGAGAGAAACCUUUCUGCUGCUCUGAUUGUGGGAAACGUUUCUCAAGACCAAAUUCACUAAAAGUUCACCUGAGAAUUCACACUGGAGGGAAAUCUAACUGCUGCUCUGACUGUGGGAAAAGAUUCAACUCUUCAGUAAAACUUAAAAUACAUCAAAUAAUUCACACUGGAGAGAAAUCUUUUAGCUGUGAUCAAUGUUGGAAGAGUUUUUUUCAGCUAAAAACCCUGACAUCUCACCAGAGAACACACACUGGAGAGAAACCUUAUGGCUGUGAUCAAUGUGGGAAGAGUUUUACUGUGUCAAGCUCCUUGACAGUGCACCAGAGAACACACACAGGAGAGCAGCUUCACCAUUGUUCAUAUUGUGGGAAAAGCUUCUCAACAUCACACACUUUGAAGGUGCACCAGAGAAUGCACACAGGAGAGCGACCUUAUAGCUGUAAUCAAUGUAGGAAUAAUUUUUUUUACAUCUAGCAAUCUGACUAAACACCAGAGAACACACACAGGAGAGAAACCUCAUAGCUGUAAUCAAUGACAAGAGAUUCUCCGAUAAAAGAUAUCUGAUCAAACAUCAGAAAAUACAUACAUGAAGGAGUUGUUUCAUGAUAUCAAUGAAUUAAUGUCACAAUGUGGAAUGUUUUAACAUUAUAGUAGGAGUAUUUUAAUGAUUGUCAGAAUGUAGAACCCUAAACGUUUGCUCUGAAUUGAAAGAGUACUAUUUAUGUGAUUUAACAAAAUGUGACUAACACAAAAAGAGCUGUUACACUUGAAUCAAAAUGCAACACUUCAGAAUGUAGCGAUUUGUUUUAUACAAAUUGUCCUCUAACCAGGGAUGUACACAUUAUUCCCAGAUUCCGUGUGAUUUUUGAGCUAUUAGUUUUAACAGGACGUGCAACCUCAUCUCCCUCCUCUCGGCACAAUUGAUUUCAACAUGAUAUCGUUGAGUGAUGACAAAUAAGUGUUGUGUUCCUUUAUUUAGUGACCCCUACAUUUAAAUGCAUCACUCCAGAAUGUAGCUGACUGUCUUUUGCAGGUUGUCAUCUAACCAGUGAGGUAAAAUAUAUCUCCCAUUUCCAUGUGUUUUGUUUAGUUGUGUUAGUUUCAACAGCACGUACAACCUAAUUUCCCCCCUAAUCGAUAUCAGUGAUUUAUUGCUACUUGUCAAAACAACAGUGUUUUUGGUGCUUGUGCAGUUUAAAAUGAGCUUGUUUAAAAAAAUAUACAAGUAAUAUGAUUAUUGUGGCAGAUGUUUGUGUAUAUAGCAUGUUAUGUUUAGGUUUUCAAUUAAUCACAACUGUUGAUUUGGACACGUUAAAACACGUUGUUUUGACUUUUUCCCACCAAGCAAAAUGUCAUUGUAAACACGUUGCAAAGACGACUAGGCCCGACAAUUACAGUUGGAGUCGGAAGUUUAUGUACACAUUGAAACUCGUUUUUCAACAACUCCACAAAUUUCUUGUUAACAAACUAUAGUUUUGGCAAGUUGGUUAGAACAUCUACUUUAUGCAUGACAAGUAAUUUUUCCAACAAUUGUUUACAGCAGAUUAUUUCACUUAUAAUUCACUAUCACAAUUCCAGUGGGUCUGUCUCCUAGAGAUGAACGUACUUUGGUGCGAAAAGUGCAAAUCAAUCCCAGAACAACAGCAAAUUACCUUGUGAAGAUCCUGGAGGAAACAGGUACAAAAGUAUCUGUAUCCACAGUAAAAUUAGUCUUAUAUCAACAUAACCUGAAAGGCAACUCAGCAAGGAAGAAGCCAUUGCUCCAAAAACCGCCCUAAAAAAGCCAGACUAUUGUUUGUAACUGCACAUGGGGACAAAGAUGGUACUUUUUGGAGAAAUGUCCUCUGGUCUAAUGAAACAAAAAAAUAACUGUUUGGCCAUAAUGACCAUCGUUAUGUUUGGAGGAAAAAGGCGGAGGCUUGCAAGCCGAAGAACACUAUCCCAACCGUGAAGCACGGGGGUGGCAGCAUCAUGUUGUGGUGGUGCUUUGCUGCAGGAGGGACUGGUGAACUUCACAAAAUAGAUGUAAUCAUGAGGAAGAAAAUUAUGUGGAUAUAUUAAAGCAACAUCUCAAGUCAUCAGUCAAGAAGUUAAAUCAUGGUCGCAAAUGAUUCAUCCAAAUGGACAAUGACCACAAGCAUACUUCCAAAGUUGUGGCAAAAUGGCUUAAGGACAACAAAGUGAAGGUAUUUGAGGGGCCAUCCCAAAACCCUGACCUCACCCUAUAGAAAAUGUGUGGGCAGAAGUGAAAAUAGCAUUUGUGAGCAAGGAGGCCUACAAACCUGACUCAGUUACACCAGCUUUGUCAGGAGGAAUGGGCCAAAAUUCACCCAACUUAUUGUGGGAAGCUUGUGGAACGCCACCCGAAAUGUUUGACCCAAGUUAAACAAUUUAAAGGCAACGCUACCAAAUACUAAUUGAGUGUAUGUAAACUUCUGACCCACUAGGAAUUUGAUGAAAGAAAUAAAAGCUGAAAUAAA